CAACGCUGUCACUGAAGUUGAUACGGCAGUGACAACCUACAAAUAAUUUGUGCUUGUUCAAACAAUGUAUUAUGAAGAAAGGAUUGUGGGAGAUGAUAUGAAUCAUAGUCCAUAUCCUCACCAUAAAAAGAAUUGCAGUUAUGGGAAAAUGUUGAGUCAGAUACUCAGUGUUGUGAGAGAUGUUCUGUUUUUGCACUCUGCAGCCAGAGCCAUCGAAUGCAGCAAAUCACUGACCAGCUUAAAGAUCUACAAAUCAAUGUCAGAACCUAUAAUUUAUUGCAGUGUCCUAAAACCUGUAAGCCAAGAUUUCCUUCCAGUGGACAUCAGGCUAUCUGAGACAAGAAGCUCAUAAACCACCAGAGAAUAUUUAGCAGUGCUAGAUUAUCUCAAGGAAGAGCAUGACAAAAACCAGUUCUUGGAUAAAAUUGCAAAUAUCACAUGACACUACUCUGAAGAGGCUGCUCAUAAGACUGCACAUGUAUAUCUAAAUACGACUAAGAAGAGAACCAUAUAAUUUGAAGUUCACAAAGACGGUGAUCAACAAGCCAGCAGAAUUAAAGAUGGAGCUGUUCUGUGGUGUUUGAAAUGUGUCCAUGCAUUUCCUGCAUAAUUGGAUCCUACCUCAUUAAGGGAAAAUUUUCUUGGAAAGAUGUGAUGCCAGUUCAAAUGUCGUUCCUCAGUGCCACAAAAUAAUGUGGCUGCUCCACAAGAAUAGAGGUCCUGCAGAGCAAGCAGUGUCAGGUCUGUUUUGAGAGUGAGAGCGCUGCUGAGACUUAUGUUGAGAGAAAAACGGAGAGCAUAAUUUUUGCUUAAAGGCAAGAAUAUAUAAUGACAUUUUCCCCCUUUAAUCUGAAACCUGGAGAGGAAAAACAACAGCAUUUUGAAAAAGAGAAUGGACAAAGAGGAGUGAGAAUAACUGGCGUGAUGAGAUGUUUUCAUGACAAGGAUAAAUAGUAAGGGUCACUUGCCUACUUUAUGGGGUCCUACAAGGAUAAGCACAAGACUGUGAAGCAGACAGACAUUGUAUCUUAUAAGAGUGGCUGGACAUGGAAUAUCAGGCUUCUCUCUCAUGUUUGAUAGUAUUAUGAGGACUGCUGGAGCUACAACUCCAUACAAGCCAGAUGUGAACUUAUCAGCCCUGCUGCACAGUGACAUGGCCAGACCAGCAGCUUCACUGUUGACACUUCUCCUCCAGUGCUGUUGCCCAGUGCUUGCCAGGACAUGUAGUAAGAUUACUUUUUUUUGGAGCCUGGAUGGUCUGGAAGCAGAAUGAAGUUAUACUAAUGACUGUGGGUGAGUUCUGGACACUGAAAUAAGAGAAUGACCAAUCCAGAUAGACAAGACUUGAUUUUAUUAAUAAAAUUUGUAUUUUCCUCUUUGAGGUGACAGUUACAAACUUUGGUUCAAAAAUAAAAGAAAAUAUGAACAGCAAGAAGUUGACUUUUGAAAUCUCACUUUUACAUGUAUAAAUGUGCAUAAGAAAAUACCAGUUGGAAACGAGCCAGCAGAAACUAGUACUAUUUAAUUUAACAAUUUAUAAGAAACAGAAACAAACAUUUCUUUUCAAGUCUUACAUAUAUUAUGAAAAAUAAUUACAAAAGGAUUUGUGUUGUAAAGCUAAAAUGUAAUUUCUACUUCCAACUACCUGAAUAAAAUGUUCAGAGGGGAGGCCAAACCAA
Long non-coding RNA from Pipra filicauda (Wire-tailed manakin), 1679 nucleotides. RefSeq lists it as uncharacterized. Lineage: Eukaryota; Metazoa; Chordata; Aves; Passeriformes; Pipridae. The record is from RefSeq and is a predicted model, not a curated record. The transcript is spliced from 8 exons.